Molecule: ribosomal RNA, 424 nt
Filed under: uncultured freshwater bacterium
Lineage: Bacteria
Description: bacterial SSU rRNA
Rfam family: Bacterial small subunit ribosomal RNA
Source: RNAcentral
AACGCGAAGAACCUUACCCGGGUUUGACGUGUUAGUGGUAGGGAUCCGAAAGGUGACCGACCCGCAAGGGAGCUUUCACAGGUGCUGCAUGGCUGUCGUCAGCUCGUGUCGUGAGAUGUUCGGUUAAGUCCGCUAACGAGCGCAACCCUCGCUACGUGUUACAUGUGUCACGUGGGACCGCCGGUAUCAAGCCGGAGGAAGGUGGGGAUGACGUCAAGUCAGCAUGGCCUUUAUAUCCGGGGCUACACACACGCUACAAUGGUCGGUACAAUGGGUCGCUAAGCCGCGAGGUGGAGCCAAUCCCCAAAGCCGGCCUCAGUUCAGAUCGCAGGCUGCAACUCGCCUGCGUGAAGUCGGAGUUGCUAGUAAACGCGCGUCAGCUAUAGUGCGUUGAAUACGUUCUCGGGUCUUGUACACACCGAAU